RNAcentral lists this ribosomal RNA (393 nucleotides) under uncultured bacterium. RNAcentral's name for it is "bacterial SSU rRNA". It matches the Rfam family "Bacterial small subunit ribosomal RNA", at positions 505 to 898 of the family's 1533-position model. The record is from RNAcentral.
GUGCCAGCAGCCGCGGUAAGACGAACCGUGCGAACGUUGUUCGGAUUCACUGGGCUUAAAGGGCGCGUAGGCGGCUCUUCAAGUCGGGGGUGAAAUCCUCUCGCUUAACGAGAGAAUUGCCUUCGAUACUGGAGAGCUGGAGGGAGAUAGGGGUGCGCGGAACUUCCGGUGGAGCGGUGAAAUGCGUAGAUAUCGGAAGGAACGCCGGUGGCGAAAGCGGCGCACUGGAUCUCUACUGACGCUGAGGCGCGAAAGCCAGGGGAGCAAACGGGAUUAGAUACCCCGGUAGUCCUGGCCCUAAACGAUGGGUACUAGGUAGUGGGCUUGCAUGGGCUCCCUGCCGGAGAGAAAUUCUUAAGUACCCCGCCUGGGGAGUAUGGUCGCAAGGCUGAA